AACAAGGCGUACCUGCGGACCUGCGGAAGGAUCAUUAACCUUUCAAAUCAGGGUGCGGCGCGGCCCCCGAGGAGCGGAAACAAUCCUUGGGAGGUAUGCGGGGGCUUCGAGCCCCCCAUUUACGCACGCACGACUGCCAUCCUUACUUUACGAGCACCUUCUGUUCUCCCUCGGCGGGGCAACCUGCCGUUGGAACCGAAUAAACUCUUUUUGCAUCUAGCAUUACCCGUUCCGAAACAA
This 240-nucleotide unclassified non-coding RNA is filed under the name soil metagenome. Its description in RNAcentral is "partial contains 5.8S ribosomal RNA, internal transcribed spacer 2, and large subunit ribosomal RNA". The record is from RNAcentral.